AUUGAACGCUGGCGGCAUGCUUUACACAUGCAAGUCGAACGGUAGAGGGGGCAACCCCUUGAGAGUGGCGAACGGGUGAGUAAUAUAUCGGAACGUGCCCAGUCGUGGGGAUAACGUAGCGAAAGUUACGCUAAUACCGCAUACGAUCUAAGGAUGAAAGCGGGGGACUCGCAAGAACCUCGCGCGAUUGGAGCGGCUGAUAUCAGAUUAGGUUGUUGGUGAGGUAAAAGCUCACCAAGCCGACGAUCUGUAGCUGGUUUGAGAGAACGACCAGCCACACUGGGACUGAGACACGGCCCAGACUCCUACGGGAGGCAGCAGUGGGGAAUUUUGGACAAUGGGCGAAAGCCUGAUCCAGCAAUGCCGCGUGCAGGAAGAAGGCCUUC
This 386-nucleotide ribosomal RNA is filed under the name uncultured bacterium. Its description in RNAcentral is "bacterial SSU rRNA". It matches the Rfam family "Bacterial small subunit ribosomal RNA", at positions 30 to 419 of the family's 1533-position model. The record is from RNAcentral.